Theobroma umbraticum is the source of this 2222-nucleotide long non-coding RNA. RefSeq lists it as uncharacterized. The record is from RefSeq and is a predicted model, not a curated record. Lineage: Eukaryota; Viridiplantae; Streptophyta; Magnoliopsida; Malvales; Malvaceae.
UAUUACAAAUUUCGAGAACCGAUUAUCAAACAUAUAUACACAGAAUACAUAACCUAAGAAUCUAUUAUCUGUUUUAGUAAAUAAAACAGAAGAAAAUGCUUUCAGAAUUUUAUUGCAGGGAUUUGGUUACAGAGAGAAGCUUUUUAAGAGUGAUUCUGGCCUGCUCCCCUUUUGUAUUACAAUGGUGGCCUUUAUGGACAAGUCUUCCCUAUUUGCUAAUGAGUACCCUUCUGAAAUUUGGGCAAAAUUUGUUUUGAAAUCUUGGAAAUCAACCUUUCUGAAAAUUUGGACACAAUUUGUCUUGAAAAUCUUGGAAGUUUUCUUUCCUUAGAUGCCUUGCCAGAUGCUUUUGUUCUUCUUUCUUCGGAUUUCUUUUCUCAAGUGCCCUACAAGUCUCAGGGAUGCUUCUGUUUUCUUCUCUUUUCAGAGAUGCUUUGGAAGUUUCUUUCCUUGGAUCCCCUGGAACCUCAAGGAUGUUUUUAUUUUCUUCGUUUUUCCAAAGAUGCUUUGGAAGUUUCUUUCUUCGGAUUCCUUGCAAGCUUUUGCAGAAAUGUUUACUUUUUAUUUUUAUUUAUUUAUUUUUUUUUGCUUUCACCUCUUGCUAUUUCUUGGCAUAUAGUCUUCAUCAUAGUUUGCACCCUAGCAGGUGCACUCGUGCCUCCUUGCUAGAUGCUAAAAAUCCGCGUCUGGCCAAGGCCUUACGAUGCUGGGAUAACAGGUGCUUGCAUCCCCGCACAUGAGGUCAGCCAAAUUCGCAAAUCAAAGGGAAAGAAGCCAAAUUCGCAAAAGCCUAGGAGCCAGAUUUCAAAAUCCUAAAAUUCUAGAAAUUACAGAAAACCUAGAACCAACACAAAAUCGGAGCUUUUCUUUCCUACCAUCUACUAAAAUACCCAAACACCCAAAAAAUCAAAACAGAAGAAAAGAAAAGAAAUCACAAAUCGCAAUGAAAAAUGAAGCUAAAUGGGUUGAGUGAUUUGGGGUUUGGCCAAGAGAGUUUGGAAAUAUUGUUAGGGGAGGCUAAAACUGGGUUUUAGUGCCGCCGGCUAUGAGAGAGAUGGAGGAGGUUGAAGGUUUGGGACUACGGUUUUAUUUGAGGAAGAAGAGAGAAUGUUCAGCUAGAGAGAAGGGAGAGCAGCUACCACCCGUAGAGAGAGAAAGUGGAAAGGAGAAAUGAAGGGAGAGGAAAAAAAAAAAAUUUAAAUACCCAUGGUUGUGAGGGAUUAGGGCACAAAACGGCACCGUUUUGGCCAAAGCUGUUUCAAAAGGGAGUGAGAUCACUCCUCUGAGUCCUUAAACGGUGCGUUCGCAGAAGGGAGUUCGGCUUCUUGAAGCAGGUUGGUGAGCUAGCUCCUGGUCUGAUUUCUCUGGGCUAAUCUGAGCUCAAAUUUUGAAUAUCCAUAGAAUGUCAAAAGGUGCUAUGAUUUUAAUUCCGAAUUAACUUGUAAUUCUCCGUCGCUCAGUGAGGUACACAUCAAUUUGCAAAUUACUUAUUUCCUUUCUCUUCUUGUAAGUGUAAAACCUCAAAUUAAAAUUGUCUUAAUUUAAAAUCCAUUUAUUCGUUUGUAAAUUAAAUUUUAUUGAAUGGAUAUGUGCAAGCAAUCAGUACAACAUUUCUUUGAAAUGCUCAUAAGUAGUGGAACGAUGAGAUAAAAGGAAGACUGGCUACUCCCAGAGAAACUAGAGGGAUCGAGAUCGGAAGUAUCAACUGGCAGGACACUGUGAUGAUUGCAAAGCCAGAUUGUACACAAUAUACGUGGAACAGGAAACCUUUGCUAUAGAAGGACACGGCUAAUUGUCUUUCUGAUGGCAUUGUGUGGAAGAUGGCUUGGUAUGCCAUUUGUGGUCCAUAUGGUUAUCCCGUAAUGAUGUUGUUUUCAGAGGCAAGCUAUGGUGUGCGGAGCUAAUUCUGGAGUUAGCCAAAACAAGAGUUGUUUGGCGGAUGAAGGCCAAAUGGCCUGAUAUCAAUGCCUCUAUCUGCUAUAUGGCUAGACAACUUAAUGAAAAUGUCACUCCUAGAAAAACUUCUAAAACCAAGGUUAAGAUACCAUGGUCCAAGCUAGCAGAAGGAAGGAAGCCUUAAAUUCAAGGCUGACGAAGCAUCCCUAGGAUGUCCUGGGGACUCGGACAUUGGUGGGAUUCUAAGAGACGAACAUGGUAUUUCCCUUAUUCUGUUUUCAAACUCCAUUGGAAAUUUUGACUCAAACAGGGCUGAACUUUUAGCA